AAACGCAGCGAAAUGCGAUACUUGGUGUGAAUUGCAGAAUCCCGUGAACCAUCGAGUCUUUGAACGCAAGUUGCGCCCCAAGCCUUAGGGCCGAGGGCACGUCUGCCUGGGUGUCACG
RNAcentral lists this ribosomal RNA (118 nucleotides) under Pimelea halophila. RNAcentral describes it as "partial 5.8S ribosomal RNA". It matches the Rfam family "5.8S ribosomal RNA", at positions 41 to 154 of the family's 154-position model. From Rfam's summary of the family: 5.8S ribosomal RNA (5.8S rRNA) is a component of the large subunit of the eukaryotic ribosome. It is transcribed by RNA polymerase I as part of the 45S precursor that also contains 18S and 28S rRNA. Lineage: Eukaryota; Viridiplantae; Streptophyta; Magnoliopsida; Malvales; Thymelaeaceae. The record is from RNAcentral.